Molecule: ribosomal RNA, 381 nt
Filed under: uncultured bacterium
Lineage: Bacteria
Also listed under: 1 other name
Description: bacterial SSU rRNA
Rfam family: Archaeal small subunit ribosomal RNA
Source: RNAcentral
AUACCGGCAGCUCGAGUGAUGGCCGCUAUUAUUGGGCCUAAAGCGUCCGUAGCCGGCCGAACGGGUCCGUUGGGAAAUCCAUCUGCCUAACAGAUGGGCGUCCAGCGGAAACCAGUCGGCUUGGGGCCGGAAGACCUGAGGGGUACGUCCGGGGUAGGAGUGAAAUCCUGUAAUCCUGGACGGACCGCCGGUGGCGAAAGCGCCUCAGGAGGACGGACCCGACGGUGAGGGACGAAAGCUUGGGUCACGAACCGGAUUAGAUACCCGGGUAGUCCAAGCUGUAAACGAUGAUCGCUAGGUGUGGCGCUGGCUACGAGCCAGCGCUGUGCCGUAGGGAAGCCGUGAAGCGAUCCGCCUGGGAAGUACGUCCGCAAGGAUGAA